GCUGAGGCGUCGCUAGAGGGCCAGGCCUUGGCAGUCGCUGCCCGAGAACCGGCGUUCCCAGGACCUGGGCGGGACAGAGCCAGUGGUGACCCACGGCAAAGAGGAGCGACGAGAUGAUCCGUCAGAAGUCCAGCCAAUUCCUAGGACUGAAGAUGCAGUCGGAGCUUGAACAGCCCUCCGAACUGCAGCGGGAACCCGAGAGGGAACUCACUUCAGUGGAUGAGUCCGUCAUGCGGAUAGCAACAGGUGUGCGGCCUGAGUCCGGCACCGCGGCCUCGGUAGAUGCGGAUGAAGAUCCUGCAGCCAACUUGUUCCCGCCGCCACUGCCCCGGCCCCGGAUCUGCAUGUGGAAAUACCUGGACAUCCAUUCCAUGCACAGGCUGGAGAAGACCACCAACACUGAGGAGAUGAGGGAGGUGCUAGCUGAGCUGUUGGGGCUAGGCUCUCCUGAGCAGAGCCUGCGGGAUGCCAUCAUCCUGGACCUUUUCUCCCAUGCACUCAUCUUCUGCCGCCAGCAGGGCUUCUCACUGGAACAGACAUCAACAGCUUGUGCUCUGCUCCAAGAUCUUCACAAGGCCUGUGUGGCAACCCCCUUGGGCAACGUGGAGGAAUGUUACCGCUACUUCACCAGUGUUCUUUUUUGCCAUGGACUCAGGGUCAGUUCCUCUGGAAUGGAAUCUUCAGUCUCCCCCCAGAUAAAGUCUAGCCCAGUCUCCUGCCCUCUCUCACACUCGUCACCCUCAUCUUUCUCUGAAGGCUGCAAGGGGCUCUCCCUGCUCCUGGACUGCCAGGCACUUGGAGAAAAGGUCAGGGUUCCUGGGGGUGGUCAGUCCCCUAACUCCCAAUCAUCCCCACAGCGGCCUCCCUUCAGUAUCAACCUCUUUAGGGAGGAACAGCUGCUUGCCCUGGCAGAUUAUGUGGUCAACACCUACUUCCGCCACUUCAAGCUCUACAAAUAUGUCUUCACACCCCAGGUGAGGCUGGACCUAUCUUUGACUUACAUAGGGCUACAGCCGCCUGAGCUCUGGCCAGAGGAUGAGACAGAGAAAGAAGGCGAGGAGGUGGGAGAGCAGGCAGUCACCCCACAGGAGGAGGAGCUGGAAACAGUGGUCCAGCCAGAGCAAGAGCCAAGUGAGGAGCUGGAAGGGUUAGGUUCCCCUGUGACUUGGAGCAAGUAUAAAAUGAAGGGGUUAGACCACAUCAGGACUUCAGGUCUGUUUUAGGCACAGUGUCCUUUCUCCAAAUGAUUCCUUAUGCAGAAAUUCAAGAUGACAAACCAGGCCAGGUCUCCAUCCUGCGAGCCUACAUCAAGACCCAGAUGAGCAAGGAGCUGGGGCAGCUCCAACAGCUGAUAGAGGAGCGGCUC
RNA transcript from Panthera uncia (snow leopard), 1366 nucleotides. It is a transcript of the gene named cilia and flagella associated protein 119, with no coding region annotated. The record is from RefSeq and is a predicted model, not a curated record. Lineage: Eukaryota; Metazoa; Chordata; Mammalia; Carnivora; Felidae. The transcript has 8 exons.